RNAcentral lists this long non-coding RNA (365 nucleotides) under Mytilus galloprovincialis (Mediterranean mussel). The record is from RNAcentral. Lineage: Eukaryota; Metazoa; Mollusca; Bivalvia; Mytilida; Mytilidae.
ACAUGCAUGACAAAAAAUGAUUGAGGUUUUCAUUACAUACAUGUACUUGAAAAAUCAUUUUUAGGGAUAAUUCAAAUAAAAUUUAGAAUGGAAAUGUGAAAUGUGUCUACGGGACAACAAUCCGACCACAGAGCAGACAACAGCCGAAGGCCACCAAUGGGUCUUCAAUGCAGGGAGAACCUCCAGCACAUAGAGGUGUGUUUCAGCUGGCCCCCAAGCAAAAUGUGUAGUAGUUCAGUGAUAAAGUUAUAUUCUAGUUUAGAGUGUAAACAUAGCGGUUCAUUAUGUUGAUUACAAUGUAUCAUAUUGUUAUUAUAAGCGUUGAAUAUGACGUUUUAUAAACAAACAAGAGAAGCCGUUCACAG